This 478-nucleotide ribosomal RNA is filed under the name uncultured bacterium. Its description in RNAcentral is "partial 16S ribosomal RNA". It matches the Rfam family "Bacterial small subunit ribosomal RNA", at positions 28 to 507 of the family's 1533-position model. The record is from RNAcentral.
GACGAACGCUGGCGGCGUGCUUAACACAUGCAAGUCGAACGGUAUUUAGUAAACAGAAGCCUCGGUGGAAGAUUACUAAUGAGAGUGGCGAACGGGUGAGUAACGCGUGAGCAACCUGCCUAUGACAGUGGGAUAGCCUCGGGAAACCGGGAGUAAUACCGCAUAAAAUCGUAGAAACACAUGUUUUAACGGUCAAAGAUUUAUCGGUCAUAGAUGGGCUCGCGUCUGAUUAGCUAGUUGGUGAGAUAACAGCCCACCAAGGCGACGAUCAGUAGCCGGUCUGAGAGGAUGAACGGCUACAUUGGAACUGAGACACGGUCCAAACUCCUACGGGAGGCAGCAGUGGGGAAUAUUGCACAAUGGGGGAAACCCUGAUGCAGCGACGCCGCGUGAACGAAGAAGGUAUUCGUAUCGUAAAGUUCUGUCCUAUGGGAAGAUAAUGACAGUACCAUAGAAGAAAGCUCCGGCUAAAUACGUG